Molecule: long non-coding RNA, 1119 nt
Filed under: Physcomitrium patens
Lineage: Eukaryota; Viridiplantae; Streptophyta; Bryopsida; Funariales; Funariaceae
Description: long non-coding RNA (PPAT_LNC003828)
Source: RNAcentral
CAAGGCCCAAUUCAUGAGUCAAGGUGCUUGCAGAGACACAGGCCUCAGAUUUGUGGCUGCCAUUUCUGCUGGAUUAGUAGCAUAAGAAGGAGAAGGAGAAGGAGAACACUGGCCAAGGGGGCCAUAUUACCUGGGUACCUUCUCCUUGUUGUUGUCCUAGUUCCUGUUCCUCUAACUGAUGCCAGCACUGACAUUAAGAAGGGAAUCCAUAUGCCCUCACACAAGUCACCAGUGUUGGACAGGACUGUCCCCUAUUGCAUAGUAUCUGUGUAGUUGUUGUUGUUGUUGUAGCAGUAGUAUUGCUCCUACUAUUCUUUUCUUUUCUGUUCCUUAUUUUAUAUUUUGUUUUUUGUUCCCUUACUGCUUUGCUUUUCAACAUGAAACUGUUGUCCAUGAUUCCUGAGCAAGGGGCUAGACAGUGAUUGAAGUUGGAGCAUGUUGCAUGCCCAGCAAGGCUUUGCAACACACUCCCAUACCUUGGGAGUUCCAAACACAUGAAUAAUGCAUAUUUAUAUUUACAUGUGUGUGUGUGUGUGUGCAUGUGCAUGUGCUGGCCCACCCACACAAAACAGGCGUAUGUUAUGUUUUGAGAAAACAAAUCUUCACUAAAAGUUUAUUUUUUAUUUUUUAUUAUAAUGAUAAUGAUAAUAAUAAUAAUAAUAAUGUAACCAUCAUUGUAUCCUUUGACAAACAGCCAGGAUAAUGCACAUCAUUUGAUUGAUUCUGAAGGUUUGCAUUCUUUCUUUCUCAUUGAUGGGAAACAAGACUUUGAGGAGUGGUGGUGGCUUUUGCACUUUAAUGGUUUGUUUGUUAUUUAUUUGUGGAUAAGGGGCCUAAGAUCUAAGUAUAGAGAAAGCACCCAACACAAUUUUACAGACAGAUGCAGAGAGGACAAUAACAAAUAACUUCCCUUAUCUUUUUCUUCUUUCAUCCUUUCACUUCAAAGUGGACAGAGAUAGAGUCAGACAAACACACAGCACACACCAUUUUUGAACAAAUGGUUUAGGGUUUGUUUCACAUGCAGUGCACCCUGGAAAAAGUAAGAACAUAAAUAAAUAAAACCAAACAAUCAAAAACAAACAAACACAAACAACAAACACAAGGGUUAUGUUCCCCAUC